AGCGAACGCUGGCGGCAGGCUUAACACAUGCAAGUCGAACGGGCGUAGCAAUACGUCAGUGGCAGACGGGUGAGUAACGCGUGGGAACGUACCUUUUGGUUCGGAACAACCCAGGGAAACUUGGGCUAAUACCGGAUAAGCCCUUACGGGGAAAGAUUUAUCGCCGAAAGAUCGGCCCGCGUCUGAUUAGCUAGUUGGUGUGGUAACGGCGCACCAAGGCGACGAUCUGUAGCUGGUCUGAGAGGACGACCGGCCACACUGGGACUGAGACACGGCCCAGACUCCUACGGGAGGCAGCAGUGGGGGAAUAUUGCGCAAUGGGCGGGAAGCCUGACGCAGCGACGCCGC
This 348-nucleotide ribosomal RNA is filed under the name uncultured bacterium. RNAcentral's name for it is "bacterial SSU rRNA". It matches the Rfam family "Bacterial small subunit ribosomal RNA", at positions 29 to 400 of the family's 1533-position model. The record is from RNAcentral.